AGAAUCAACGCUGGCGGCGUGCCUAACACAUGCAAGUCGAACGAGAAAGUGGAGCAAUCCAUGAGUAAAGUGGCGACCGGGUGAGUAACACGUGACCAAUCUACCCUUGAGUGGGGGAUAACCUCGGGAAACCGGGGCUAAUACCGCAUAAUAUCUUCGGAACGGAAGUACUGAAGAUCAAAGGAGCAAUUCGCUUAAGGAGGAGGUCGCGGCUGAUUAGCUAGUUGGCGGGGUAAUGGCCCACCAAGGCAAAGAUCGGUAGCCGGCCUGAGAGGGCGCGACGGCCGACGACCUGGAACUGAAACACGGUCCAGACUCCUACGGGAGGUAGCAGUGGGGAAUUUUGCGCAAUGGGGGAAACCCUGACGCAGCAACGCCGCGUGGAGGAUGAAGUCCCUUGGGACGUAAACUCCUUUCGACCCGGACGAUAAUGACGGUACGGGUGGAAGGAAGCCCCGGCUAACUUCGUAGCCAGCAGCCGC
This 482-nucleotide ribosomal RNA is filed under the name uncultured bacterium. Its description in RNAcentral is "SSU rRNA". It matches the Rfam family "Bacterial small subunit ribosomal RNA", at positions 26 to 518 of the family's 1533-position model. The record is from RNAcentral.